Molecule: long non-coding RNA, 825 nt
Filed under: Sarcophilus harrisii (Tasmanian devil)
Lineage: Eukaryota; Metazoa; Chordata; Mammalia; Dasyuromorphia; Dasyuridae
Description: lncRNA (ENSSHAG00000030426.1)
Source: RNAcentral
GCGGCGAGGGAGGGUGGGUGUCUCUACGGGGCUCCCCGAAGGGAGGGGGGAGGAGGCGAAUAGGCUCCGACAUCACCAAUCGCUGCAGCCUUUAGGGAGAAAACGAGCCUGGCGGCUGAUGCUCGCGAAGCCAUGCUCGGCCUACAUCAGCAGAGGAGAGCUGGAAGGAACGGCUAAAGGGGAAGACAGUUGGGUUCCAUUUUGCCUUCCGAGAACCUGCUGGCAGGCACUAUAGAAUACAUGCUGGUCAAACGGAGCCCAGGCCACCAGCCUAGAUGGUGAGAAGUCUCCUAAUCUGGUGAGAAAAAUCGUAUUCACCAACAGCAAUAAAUAAGAGCCUUUUGCCUGGUAGGACUCCAUCUGUACUACUCUGCUCUCUUCUGGGUACCACAUUUUAUCAAGGGGUAUUUUUUUUUAAAUCUGGAAUGUAUCUUUAGGAUAGAAACCAGAGGGUCCUCGUGAUGAAAGGGAAGGGGGAAAGAUGGGGAAGAGAAAGAUGGGGAGGGAGGCAGAGAAGGAACAGGAGGGGGGAAAGGGAAGAAAUAAAGUGAAGUAAGGGAGAGAAAUGCAGAUGAACGGGGAGAGAGUGAGAGAUAGGAGAGAUCUUCAAAUAUAAGCUUGUCAAUCAUAAAAUAAGCAUUUGUUAAGCAUUUCUUAUUUAUAUCAACUAGCCCGCCCUGGAUUUAGAGAAAUAAAGUCAAAAACAACAACAACAACAACAACAAGCACUACUCAUAAGAAGCUUAUGUUCUAAGAAGCAUUUGUUAAUCACUUACUUAUUGUAUGCUUCAGGAUAUAAAUACAAUAAUUGAAAACAAUCUCAAG